RNAcentral lists this ribosomal RNA (274 nucleotides) under uncultured bacterium. Its description in RNAcentral is "partial 16S ribosomal RNA". It matches the Rfam family "Bacterial small subunit ribosomal RNA", at positions 29 to 329 of the family's 1533-position model. The record is from RNAcentral.
AACGAACGCUGGCGGCAUGCCUAACACAUGCAAGUCGAACGAGACCUUCGGGGUCUAGUGGCGCACGGGUGCGUAACGCGUGGGAACCUGCCUUUAGGUUCGGAAUAACUCAGAGAAAUUUGAGCUAAUACCGGAUAAUGUCUUCGGACCAAAGAUUUAUCGCCUUUAGAUGGGCCCGCGUUGGAUUAGCUAGUUGGUGGGUAAAGGCCGUACCAAGGCGACGAUCCAUAGCUGGUCUGAGAGGAUGAUCAGCCACACUGGGACUGAGCCACGG